Molecule: non-coding RNA, 22 nt
Filed under: Arabidopsis thaliana (thale cress)
Lineage: Eukaryota; Viridiplantae; Streptophyta; Magnoliopsida; Brassicales; Brassicaceae
Source: RNAcentral
ACGGGACGACAUACUACGGGUA